Molecule: ribosomal RNA, 494 nt
Filed under: uncultured bacterium
Lineage: Bacteria
Description: partial 16S ribosomal RNA
Rfam family: Bacterial small subunit ribosomal RNA
Source: RNAcentral
GAUGAACGCUAGCGGCAGGCUUAACACAUGCAAGUCGAGGGGUAUAGUUCUUCGGAGCUAGAGACCGGCGCACGGGUGCGUAACGCGUAUGCAAUCUACCUUUUGCAGAGGGAUAGCCCAGAGAAAUUUGGAUUAAUACCUCAUGGUAUGUGAGAAUGGCAUCAUUUUCACAUUAAAGUCACAACGGCAAAAGAUGAGCAUGCGUCCCAUUAGCUAGUUGGUAAGGUAACGGCUUACCAAGGCAACGAUGGGUAGGGGUCCUGAGAGGGAGAUCCCCCACACUGGUACUGAGACACGGACCAGACUCCUACGGGAGGCAGCAGUGAGGAAUAGUGGACAAUGGGCGCAAGCCUGAUCCAGCCAUGCCGCGUUCAGGAUGACGGUGCUAUGGAUUGUAAACUGCUUUUGUACAGGAAGAAACACUGGUUCGUGAACCAGCUUGACGGUACUGUAAGAAUAAGGAUCGGCUAACUCCGUGCCAGCCGCCGCGGUAA